GGAUACAUUUGCAAGCAUUAAAAUCUGCUGGAGCAAAGACACCAGAAUGAGAUGACUACAGAGGACUUGAGUGCUGACUGCCCGGGCCUCUGCAACCACUGAUUGCAUCAGUGUGUACAUCAGCGACUGGAUGGUAAUCUCCUGCACUGAAGCCUCAGCCUUCCUAUGAGGAGAUGUGUAUGGAACCCUUCAGACUGGCGUACCUUUUCUGAG
Molecule: long non-coding RNA, 213 nt
Organism: Sardina pilchardus (European sardine)
Lineage: Eukaryota; Metazoa; Chordata; Actinopteri; Clupeiformes; Clupeidae
Exons: 3
Source: RefSeq, a predicted model, not a curated record